Molecule: transfer-messenger RNA, 353 nt
Filed under: Panacagrimonas perspica
Lineage: Bacteria; Pseudomonadati; Pseudomonadota; Gammaproteobacteria; Nevskiales; Nevskiaceae
Description: Standard tmRNA
Rfam family: transfer-messenger RNA
About the family: Bacterial tmRNA, also known as 10Sa RNA or SsrA, is named for its dual tRNA and mRNA-like properties. Its role is to liberate the mRNA from a stalled ribosome. To accomplish this part of the tmRNA is used as a reading frame that ends in a translation stop signal.
Source: Rfam by way of RNAcentral
GGGGCUGAUCUGGGCUCGACGGUGAUUGGAAGCCCAACGUGCAUGCCGAGUUGCAUAGCCACUCGUUAAACGCCGUGCAAAAAAGCUAGUUGCGAACGACGCAAACUACGCCCUCGCCGCUUAACCGGUGAGCGGUUGACCAGGUGGUGUUGAUGCCCCUGAAUCAACCGUCGACUCUCAUCAACUAAGCUCGAAGCGCGCCCUUCGCCUAGAGACGAAAAUCCCAAGGGGAUAGGCGUCAACGAUCCCUGUCUGUCGGGGAGUUGACGAUGAAAACUAAAGACAGACUAAGCAUGUAGGUCUUUGGCGCGGAUGGUUGUCGGACGCGGGUUCGAUUCCCGCCAGCUCCACCA